ACAGAAUGCUUAACACAUGCAAGUCUACUUGAAUUUGGGUUUUUUAACUUCGAUUUGGGUGGCGGACGGGUGAGUAACGCGUAAAGAACUUGCCUCACAGCUAGGGACAACAUUUGGAAACGAAUGCUAAUACCUGAUAUUAUGAUUAUAGGGCAUCCUAGAAUUAUGAAAGCUAUAUGCGCUGUGAGAGAGCUUUGCGUCCCAUUAGCUAGUUGGAGAGGUAACGGCUCACCAAGGCGAUGAUGGGUAGCCGGCCUGAGAGGGUGAACGGCCACAAGGGGACUGAGACACGGCCCUUACUCCUACGGGAGGCAGCAGUGGGGAAUAUUGGACAAUGGACCGAGAGUCUGAUCCAGCAAUUCUGUGUGCACGAUGACGUUUUUCGGAAUGUAAAGUGCUUUCAGUUGGGAAGAAAAAAAUGACGGUACCAACAGAAGAAGUGACGGCUAAAUACGUGCCAGCAGCCGCGGUAAUACGUAUGUCACGAGCGUUAUCCGGAUUUAUUGGGCGUAAAGCGCGUCUAGGUGGUUAUGUAAGUCUGAUGUGAAAAUGCAGGGCUCAACUCUGUAUUGCGUUGGAAACUGUGUAACUAGAGUACUGGAGAGGUAAGCGGAACUACAAGUGUAGAGGUGAAAUUCGUAGAUAUUUGUAGGAAUGCCGAUGGGGAAGCCAGCUUACUGGACAGAUACUGACGCUGAAGCGCGAAAGCGUGGGUAGCAAACAGGAUUAGAUACCCUGGUAGUCCACGCCGUAAACGAUGAUUACUAGGUGUUGGGGGUCGAACC
This 785-nucleotide ribosomal RNA is filed under the name uncultured Fusobacteriota bacterium. RNAcentral's name for it is "bacterial SSU rRNA". It matches the Rfam family "Bacterial small subunit ribosomal RNA", at positions 39 to 838 of the family's 1533-position model. Lineage: Bacteria; Fusobacteriati; Fusobacteriota. The record is from RNAcentral.